AUGUCCCACGCGUACACUGCGGUUCCUUCGCGCCGUCCGCACCCACUUGAAUGCCGCUCGCUACGUUUUGGCAACC
RNAcentral lists this small RNA (76 nucleotides) under Xanthomonas fragariae. RNAcentral describes it as "sX9 sRNA". It matches the Rfam family "Xanthomonas sRNA sX9". The record is from RNAcentral. Lineage: Bacteria; Pseudomonadati; Pseudomonadota; Gammaproteobacteria; Lysobacterales; Lysobacteraceae.